GACGAACGCUGGCGGCGUGCCUAAUACAUGCAAGUAGAACGCUGAAGAGAGGAGCUUGCUCUUCUUGGAUGAGUUGCGAACGGGUGAGUAACGCGUAGGUAACCUGCCUGGUAGCGGGGGAUAACUAUUGGAAACGAUAGCUAAUACCGCAUGAUAUUAAUUGUCGCAUGAUAAUUAAUUGAAAGAUGCAAUUGCAUCACUACCAGAUGGACCUGCGUUGUAUUAGCUAGUUGGUGAGGUAACGGCUCACCAAGGCGACGAUACAUAGCCGACCUGAGAGGGUGAUCGGCCACACUGGGACUGAGACACGGCCCAGACUCCUACGGGAGGCAGCAGUAGGGAAUCUUCGGCAAUGGGGGGAACCCUGACCGAGCAACGCCGCGUGAGUGAAGAAGGUUUUCGGAUCGUAAAGCUCUGUUGUAAGAGAAGAACGGGUGUGAGAGUGGAAAGUUCACACUGUGACGGUAUCUUACCAGAAAGGGACGGCUA
This 489-nucleotide ribosomal RNA is filed under the name Streptococcus sanguinis. RNAcentral's name for it is "bacterial SSU rRNA". It matches the Rfam family "Bacterial small subunit ribosomal RNA", at positions 28 to 499 of the family's 1533-position model. The record is from RNAcentral. Lineage: Bacteria; Bacillati; Bacillota; Bacilli; Lactobacillales; Streptococcaceae.